Molecule: long non-coding RNA, 774 nt
Organism: Nerophis ophidion (straightnose pipefish)
Lineage: Eukaryota; Metazoa; Chordata; Actinopteri; Syngnathiformes; Syngnathidae
Exons: 3
Source: RefSeq, a predicted model, not a curated record
AAUUGAGUCCUGCGAGGCCGCCGGUUGCCACGAGUCUGCCCCCGCGUGGCGGCUGCUUAAUUGCUUGUGUUAUUCGCCAGCCGACCGCCGACCACCGCACCGUGGUGUUAGCAUAUCCCGGCCUCCUCGCCGGCCCCGAGGGACGGGAUGAGACGUGAGCUUGGAAUCUUUUUUUUUUGUUUUGUUUGGCUCGGCAGCGAAAUUCAGCCAGCAGCUGGUGUUGCGAGGCCAAGCGGUGACAAAGACGGCGGCGGAGAGGAGUUAGGUGAUAGGAGCAUCAGUGGCGGCCCCGGGGAGCUGACACCAGCAGUCCAGCACCGUUGGCGGAAUAUGACAGCCUUGCCAACACCUCGCAGCCCCUGCACACUCGCACGGAGGUGCUUUCUACGGGUUUCUGGGAGAAGGCUUUGAAAAGGCAUUGAUCUGAGCCAGCAGGUCUGGUUGGGACACAAGGAGCGCCCGGUGACGCUCUGCUCUCAUGGAACAUCGAUGGUGAAACCCCGUCACCCGACCUGAAUGCCAGAUGACAAAAUCCUACUUUCCGUCAACAACAACAACAACAACAACAACAAAAACAAAAGACUUUGUGUGUUUGCUACCAGUAGUGGCAGACUUGCUGAGGGCAUUGGAGCAUUUUCAUGCAACAGAGGGAUGUCCGAAGGGUGGCCAUUUGCAGAUUCUAAAAAAAACAACACUUUUACUAAAAAAAAACAUAAAAACAUAAGUGGAACAAAAAAGUAAACAAGUGUAAUAUAAUGAGGUGAUGCUAAUGAA